AGCGAACGCUGGCGGCAGGCCUAACACAUGCAAGUCGAACGAACUCUUCGGAGUUAGUGGCGGACGGGUGAGUAACACGUGGGAACGUGCCUUUAGGUUCGGAAUAACUCAGGGAAACUCGUGCUAAUACCGAAUGUGCCCUUCGGGGGAAAGCUUUAUCCCCUUUAGAGCGGCCCGCGUCUGAUUAGCUAGUUGGUGAGGUAAAGGCUCACCAAGGCGACGAUCAGUAGCUGGUCUGAGAGGAUGAUCAGCCACAUUGGGACUGAGACACGGCCCAAACUCCUACGGGAGGCAGCAGUGGGGAAUCUUGCGCAAUGGGCGAAAGCCUGACGCAGCCAUGCCGCGUGAAUGAUGAAGGUCUUAGGAUUGUAAAAUUCUUUCACCGGGGACGAUAAUGACGGUACCCGGAGAAGAAGCCCCGGCUAACUUCGUGCCAGCCGCCGCGGUAA
RNAcentral lists this ribosomal RNA (449 nucleotides) under uncultured bacterium. RNAcentral describes it as "partial 16S ribosomal RNA". It matches the Rfam family "Bacterial small subunit ribosomal RNA", at positions 29 to 523 of the family's 1533-position model. The record is from RNAcentral.